GCUGCAAACUGCCUGGCACAGUUCUGCCAAGAGAAGCAGGGCUAUUGGGCUGAAAAUGCAUGCCAGGGGAACUGGUCAGCCGAUAGACGUCUAAGCAUCCUACAUUAAGGCUCCUAUCAGGUUAUCAAAAUGAUUCAAAAUGUAUUUUUUUGUUUCUCCCUUGGAUUGCAGUGAGUGUGAUAAUAAUGUUAUAAUAGGCAUAGAGGAGAGUGACAUAUUCCAGGUAGUCAAGUAUAGUUUAUUUGCUUCUCUCUCUAACCCUUGCUAUUUGUGUCUACCUUUAGUUGUUUGAUACUAAAAGUUAGCGAUGGGGGAGUAGGAAAUAUGAUUAUUGAGCAGGAGAAUUUGAGAAGUGGAUAUGAUGAUAAAAAUUUUACCCCUUUAGAUCAUAACAUGGUUUACUACCCACUCUGACUGAGUUCUUAGGGGAUGAUUCUGUAUAACAGUUCAGUGGAAGAACUUGAGGGCAUCCUUGGGGAUAUGCACCGGGUGCUGUAGCUAAUCUUGUAGCCCUAGAAGCGUGUGUACAAGCUGAUAAUGAAGGAUGCGAUAUCUCUCACGAAGGUAAUGAAAUUAUCCAUGAGGAGACUGUAUCCACAAAUGAAGCUGUUAGUGUUUUUUUCUUUUUGUCCAUUUCAGGUACAAUUUUUUGAUUUCAUGAGCAUUUUGUCUUUCUCUGAAAUAGAUAGUUAGAUGCAAAUUUAAAUUCCUAAAUAACUCUGUUGUUUAUUUAUGUAUUUCAGGAUCAGUCGGGGGGUUAUCAUGUAACAGCACUAAGGCACCCCUUUUUUAUCUAUGACGAAAACCAACUGGAGAGUUGUUGUUUCUUAUGUACUAAGUUUCAAAAUUCCUUGCGAAAUUGAAGCAUUUGAAGCAUGCUUCAAUGUUGUAUGUCAACCAAGAGAUUUGGUGUGGGUUUAAUAAUCUCAGUUCCUAUUCUGAAACUUUUAUUUGUGGGUUUUGUAGGAUGAUGGACCAAGGCUCCCAGGCUUCCAGGAUUCCAUGUCAUCACCUAAAGCAAGUCCGUCAUCCCCAAAAUCUUCUCCCCCAAAAAACUAUGGGUAGUGAUGGGCUACUCUCAUGAUUCCAACACCAAUUUCCAAGGAGAUAGAGAUGGAACAUUCUCCAUUGGGAAAACUUUAAAUGUGAACAUCUUUCUGAGGUUCGUGUGAAGACCUGCAGAGUGUUUUAGGUAU
Molecule: long non-coding RNA, 1196 nt
Organism: Macadamia integrifolia
Lineage: Eukaryota; Viridiplantae; Streptophyta; Magnoliopsida; Proteales; Proteaceae
Exons: 3
Source: RefSeq, a predicted model, not a curated record